RNAcentral lists this long non-coding RNA (3221 nucleotides) under Oryza brachyantha (malo sina). RNAcentral's name for it is "long non-coding RNA (OBRA_LNC001745)". Lineage: Eukaryota; Viridiplantae; Streptophyta; Magnoliopsida; Poales; Poaceae. The record is from RNAcentral.
UUUGAUAACAAGCCUAUCAUAAAUAGUUUUGCCCUACUUUCAUAAAUAUUUUAUUCAAUAGAGGUAUAAACGAUAUUUUAAAACAAUAGUAAUAUUAAAUUAUUGUUAUUCUCAACACUAUCAAAUCCACAUUUUAAUUAUAAAAGAGUACUCAUACCAUGUGAAUAGGAAUCACCCUAUGACGUAUCUCCAUUAACCGGGAGUACGACGUAUUCAAAUACUAUACAACUCUGCAGUGUAUGCCCAGCUUUACCCGCACGAUAUCCACAGUUUGCAAGGCUGUAAAUAACAUAACAUAAUACUGCCCCAAGUUCAUCUAAGAUCCACCUAGUGGCUUAAAGGAUUUGUGGCUGUUGGCCUCGUCCCGAACGCAGAGGGUGUGUGUUCCAACCCGACACAACUUCCACCCACUAUUGAGCGUCUCAGAGGCACAUCAGCUCCUCCUGACCUCUUUUGGGUAUACACAGUACCCUGGGUACACGCAGCACCCUCACUCAACAAUUCUCACCAACAGUCAGUGGUCAGUACACACCUAAGGCCGAUAUUGCUAUAUACACCGAUAGGCUGCAGAUCAUCAAUUCACUGGAGCAGCAUACGCUAAGUUCGAAUAUCUCGAUCAUGCGGAUGGGCGCAAUUACAUCGCUUCACAUGGCAUAAGAAAAUUAUUCAAAAUAUCAUCUUUACUCAGAAUUAACCUCCAUAUCACUUCGAACGAGUGAUUCAUAUCAAGACACAUUUUAUACAGGGUUUUGGUGGUAUUACCCACUAUAAUAUUAAUCUGAUGUAAUAUACAACCUAUACCUAGGUUAUCAGAGAACAUGAUAUGGUAGUUUAUGGUAUUGGCAAUGAUAUUAAAUUAAGUAUAGGGCAAUAACUAAUAUAACAAGAUUAUUUGAAAAUAAUGGUACGCCAAAAUAACUUUGCAAGUAAAUAAUGCAAAAAUAACUAAGUGGUUCUCUACUUAGGUUCUCAAGUUGAUCAAGGAUAGAUUAAUGACUUGCCUUGCAAUAUGUGGUUCUCUGGGGGCUUCAACAUAGCCAUCUGGGUCCACAUCAGCUCCUACGGCAACCUGAUAAACUCCUCUUCUAUACGACCUAGCGCACGCACACAAGAACGGACAAUAAACAAAACUAUAAAACUAAAGCUAUAAAUAAACAAUAAAAUAACAACGAAAGAGAUAAUGAUUGGAUAAUUAAUGGAAGGGAUUUAGAAGACUUUUAAACUGACAUAGGAUCAAGAUUAUGAUUGUAUAUCUAGACGAUUAUGGUCUAGAAUUAGAAUGGUAUAUGAUAGUGAUUAGAAGUAAAAGAUAUCAAAAGAAUGUGUUAUGAUUUUAUGUGGCUUCGCAUAUUGCGAGAUUGAUUUAAUUACCACAUAAUAAAGAUUGAGUAUAACUCGAGACAAGGGUUGAUUCGAAUGAAAGAUAGUAUGAAUAGACAAUGGCUGGUUGAAGUUUAGAAUUUACUAAGCCAUUGGAUAGGAAUGAUAGUUUAAACUUUAGAUGGGAGAGACCAUAACUUAGUGUGUCGAAAAAGAAGAUGAUAAGUCAGACGAGAUUAUUUUGUGGUAAACAACACAAACUUGGAUUUAAGAAGAUGUCGAUAGCUGGAUUACUGUAUAAGUUGUGAAAUCAAUGUCGUAUGACAGUUUGAAGCAACGGUUCGAAAGAAUAUUUUGACAUAUUGGAGGAUGGAUGGAUCCAAAUAGGUUUGAGCUGUUUCAAAGAAUAAUAUUAGGGUCAAAGGUCCGGAUAGGUUUAGGGCUUAUAAUAGCGGAUGGUAAUAGUGGAAGCUAGGAGUAUAUGGUGGGGUAGUUAUGCUAUGAUCGUAUGUGGUUUCAUAAGAUGAGCGAGUGAUUUAAUGCGUUAAACACCAAGUCAUCCAAAAUAUUGUCAUGGACAUGGAAAUUGAUACAGAUAAAGGAAUAUAAAUGGGUACAUUCGGUAAAUGGUUAUGGAUGAUUAAAUAGGAAACAAUAUUAACUAUAUGAAUUGCGCACGCAUUUAAAAUUAAAAUGCGUAUUGAAAGAGAAUAAAUGAAUCAGGUAUGGUUGGCUCGAAUUAAAGGGGUGGUUAGACAAUGAUGGUAGACUGCUGAGUUGUUGAAUUAAAUCAAUAACUCAAUUUAUACAUGGUUUAGUGUAUAAGAAUAAAAGAAUGUAGGAAUUAAAUGAGGUUGGGUCAAAAUAAAUAACAUGAAAUCGACGUUUCAAAUAUCGUCGAUAUAUUAGGAUAAACUUUAGAUUUGACUACAUAAUUAUUUAGUAUAGCAGAGUGACUAACCAAAUAAUAAUAUAACGAGUCAAAGAUCAAGUUGAUUUCGAGUGGUUUCGCCGGUACUAAAGAAUAGUAACCCUAGGAUUAAAAUUAAGGUUUUGACUUCGGAGUCCUGGAUGGCGACGAAACUAUGGCCGUUGAAUUUGGAAUGACUCAAAGAGUCGGAUAAUGGUUUCAGAUUUUAAAUCCGAGAUUUAAAGGUCAAAGAAUUAUUUAAAUCAGAUAAAAUAAUUUUUGGAUUUAUUUUGAAUAGAAAAAGAAAUUAGGUGGACUCCAAUUAUUUUAUUUUCUUUCUCCCAUUUAUUUAUUUAUUUAUUAUUUUCUUUUCUCCUCUCCUCUCCUCUCCUCUCCUUUUCUCUUUUUUUUCUUUUUCUUUUUCCUCUUUUUUUUCCCCUCCUUUCUCUCUUCUCCCUUUUUCUUUCCGUGCGUUCUGUUCCUUUCCUCUUUCUCGUUCUUUCUUUUCUCUCACAGAGGAGGAGCGGCCAUGGGAGAUGGGCGCCGGAAGCAGGAGGUGGCCGGCUCCGGCCAAGGGGCGCCGGAUCCAGGACCAGGGAUUCGAGGGGAACCCAUUCCCCUAGGUGGAGGCGGCUGCAGCGCCGGCGAGUAGGCUUGCGGCGGCGACCAGUUCAGGAUAGCGAUGGCGACCAUGGAGGUGCCGAUUCCGGCGAGCUUCGGUGGGGGCAGGGGCUGGGGAAGGUCCAGGAAAGGGUUUCAAGGCUUUCUGCAGCCUCAGCCGAGGCCGGGACGGCCGGGAGCAGCGGCGCGACGUGCGCCGGGAGGGGGAGAACAGGGGAGCGACGGGCGGCGGCGACGCCGGUGGGUUCCGGCGGUGAUUUUGGCUCGGGAAAAUGAGGGGAAAGAAUAACACGAGCAUGGAGAAGGUGAUGGAUACCUUGAUUUGGAAGAAGAGACAACGAGGUUGACGAAUUUCUCAAGAACGGCGCCG